CCUCCAUUGUGAACUUUAUGUGAUAAUACAGCUCUUUCCCCUUUUCUUUUUAUCAUAUGAUGUUUGCUUCAUGCCCUGGGAAGAAGGUGCCAGAGGAAUGUUCUGAAGAACUUCAUGCAAGGCUGUGAUAGAAAGCCCAGCCCUUUGACGGACCAUGUUUCCCAUUGGAAGCUGCUGUGAAAGUUGUGAUGCAGAUAGUAAAGUGGAGCUGGGAAUCCAAUGAUGCUGCCAUGGCAACCAUGAGGGGGUUCCACCAGCCGCUGCACCAGCUGUCCUGCAUGAAAUACUGCUCCAUCAUCUGUGCUCAGUGCCUGCACCCGGAAGCCCAGGGGGCUCCUGGCAUUACAGUAGAGCACAUUGCUGCCAUCCUCCUCAUCCACAGAUACCAUCUGGCACUCAACUGUUUGCAGGUUUGGAAUGGAUUCACCAAAGUGCCAGCUUUGUCCAUGAUCAUCACUGAAGAAGAACAGUCCGGGCUGGGAAAUGGCGAGAACCCAUGGCAAGUGCAGCAAGAAAUGACAGCCCUAAAAUAUUAAACAGGCUGUUUGGAUGUUCUUCACAUUGCAGAUGGAACUUAGUUUACAGUGUAUUGCUGUACAUGUCUGCUCAGAAAUAGUCCCACUGAGU
Varanus komodoensis (Komodo dragon) is the source of this 627-nucleotide long non-coding RNA. RefSeq lists it as uncharacterized. NCBI's taxonomy places the organism in Eukaryota, Metazoa, Chordata, Lepidosauria, Squamata, Varanidae. The record is from RefSeq and is a predicted model, not a curated record. The transcript is spliced from 3 exons.